AUGAGGCUGCUGCUGCCCGUGCUCUGCCUGCUCUGCGCCGUCUCCUCCUGCGGAGCCCAAGUGUCCCAGAGCCCCGAGGUGCUGGUGACCCGCGAAGGGGACCGCUCCGCCAUGGUCUGUACUUACUCCACCACUUACAGGACUUUCCAGUGGUACCGGCAGGCCCCCUCGGGGGAGAUCACCCACCUCCUCACUGUAGCCGCCGACCAGAAUGUCACGGCGGGGCGGAUCACGGGGGAGAGGCUGGAGAGCGGCACGAGGAGCGCCCUGCGCCUGGUCCCGCACGGCCUGGCGGACUCGGGCCGGUACCUCUGUGCGGUGGGUGCACAGUGA
Molecule: non-coding RNA, 333 nt
Organism: Alligator mississippiensis (American alligator)
Lineage: Eukaryota; Metazoa; Chordata; Crocodylia; Alligatoridae
Source: the annotation of a RefSeq genome assembly